CAGCCGCCACGGGAAUACGAAGGGUGCAAGCGUUACUCGGAAUUACUGGGCGUAAAGCGUGCGUAGGUGGUGGUUUAAGUCCGUUGUGAAAGCCCUGGGCUCAACCUGGGAAUUGCAGUGGAUACUGGGUCACUAGAGCGUGGUAGAGGAUAGUGGAAUUUCCGGUGUAGCAGUGAAAUGCGUAGAGAUCGGAAGGAACAUCUGUGGCGAAGGCGACUAUCUGGGCCAACACUGACACUGAGGCACGAAAGCGUGGGGAGCAAACAGGAUUAGAUACCCCUGUAGUCCCUGUCUCUUAUCA
Molecule: ribosomal RNA, 301 nt
Filed under: uncultured bacterium
Lineage: Bacteria
Description: partial 16S ribosomal RNA
Rfam family: Bacterial small subunit ribosomal RNA
Source: RNAcentral